Cryptomeria japonica (Japanese cedar) is the source of this 1660-nucleotide long non-coding RNA. RefSeq lists it as uncharacterized. The transcript is spliced from 4 exons. The record is from RefSeq and is a predicted model, not a curated record. Lineage: Eukaryota; Viridiplantae; Streptophyta; Pinopsida; Cupressales; Cupressaceae.
UUGAAAUUUCAACAAACUUGAAUCGGGGUUAACCAAGGGAGCCUGAGUAAACUAGCCCGAGGUUACUGGCAACAAACUAUUCGUUAUUUGAAUAAAGCAGAAUUCUGAUCCAAGGUGGCAACAGAGGAUUGUGAAGGGAUCCAACCAAACCUACAGAUGGAAUUCCGGUGGGAGAGGACAGGUCACAGGUGAUUUUCUUGCUGGUUUGUUUUUAGGAGGGGCUAUUUUUUGAACUCUUGGCUAUGUGUUUGCACCCCAGGUGAUCUAAUAUUCAUAUAAUGGCAUUGCUUUCAGCAUCUCGACACCAUCUAUCUGCAUUUUCGUUGAUUCACAACAUAUCAUUUAUAAGCAGCAGAUCAAUAACAACUUUUAGGGAGGAAUGAGGCACCUUUGGUCCCAUUAAUGUACCAGCAGACAGGCAUGUAAAUUUUUUUGAUACAUUGUUUAAAUACCAAAAUGUUUUUCUUCUCAUAUCCCUAUUUCCUAGAGUGAGAAAGCUUUGAAUGAAAUGUCUCCAUCAUAGUAAUAAGACUUGACAGGCUAAUUUUGAACUUGGUCUUUGAUUCAGAAAAAAGCUUGGCACAAACUCAGCAAUUUAGAAAAUUACUAACAUAUGAGAACUUGCUUUUAUUGGUGUUUUUCUCAAGUCUGCAAGUCAGUUCUGGUGGAGUCCUGCUUGGCUCAUGACUCAGGGAGUCCCAUGUCUAUGGUCUGUGUGCACAUUGUUUAUUUAUACUUCCUCCACAUCUUUAAUUUUUUAAAUGUAAAAGAAAUUAAGUUAUGGUUUCCCAUUUCAUAGAAUUUUAUUCUGUUGGGAGUCUCAGUAUGUCCUUGAGUUUUGUAGAAUAUAACAGACUUGAAUUUGUAACUUUUGAUACAAUUGUUCAGACGGAAGCCAUCUAUUGGAUCAAAUCUUCUAUCUUAGAAGAAAGCACAAUCUUUGAAGAGUUGUUGAUUGUGGAGCUAUUUAUUACAAGAAUAUAUACCCUUGAUAGUUUCUUCUGGAUUUAUGUACAGAGACAUAGAUGAAUGUUUUCUCCUUAUGGAGGGCGCUUAAGGCAUAGACAAACGCAAAGGUUUUGUCCUUAUGGAGGAUACUUAAAGCAAGUAAGUUAAAUACCAAUGACAACUUCCCAAUUAGAAGGAAUAUGGUUGGGUCAAGAAUAAAAAUUUCCCUUUGGCUUGAGAAGAUUAAAUGAUAUGAUAAGUUCAGUUCCUUGCAGUGGCUUCUCAUGCAGCUGAAGAUAUAGUCUAUCUACAGAGAUGCAGUUAGAUGGUAAAUUAGUGAAUGGAUCUGCAUAUAAUUUGAGGCAAGAGACUCAACUUUGUACUGAAUUAUUUUCUCUAUGAUUAAAACUCACUCGAGCAGGUGACAACUCUGUCAGGUCAGGAAUGGACUGACAAUGAAAAAGUAAAAAUGAAUUGAAAUAAUAUACUAACAAAUCAACAAAAUGACCUUUCAGUUCAGCUUCAUUGACUGUUCAAAUUUUACAAUAACCCAAGGAUUAUUUAUUAAAUAUUUACAUAAUAUUGCAUCCACCUUUUAAUCCAUAGGGGUUAUAAUGAGACCAAGCAGGCCUCUAAAUUUUUCAAAUUUCUCUCUUCAAAGCGCUUUUGUUAGGAUAUCCAUUGAUUGAUCUGAAGUUGGACAGUGGAUCAA